Non-coding RNA from Vagococcus teuberi, 190 nucleotides. It matches the Rfam family "6S / SsrS RNA". From Rfam's summary of the family: E. coli 6S RNA was the first non coding RNA to be sequenced, but its function was unknown until recently. The record is from Rfam. NCBI's taxonomy places the organism in Bacteria, Bacillati, Bacillota, Bacilli, Lactobacillales, Enterococcaceae.
AGAUAUCUGUGAUGUACGCAGUAUCCCCAUUAGUGUUGACCGAACAAAUCGUUUUACUUUGGGAAUCAACGAGUAUUUAUUAAAAACAGGCCUUUUCAUUUGGUAGUUUGAGGUAUUUACAGCGAUUCCCACCUGCAUUUUUUAGCGGGUUCAACCAUCAGGGAUACAAAACGGCAUCGACGGAUAUUUU